AGGGUUCGAUUAUGGCUCAGAUUGAACGCUGGCGGAAUGCUUUACACAUGCAAGUCGAGCGGCAGCACGGGGGUAACCCUGGUGGCGAGCGGCGAACGGGUGAGUAAUACAUCGGAACAUGCCCAGUCGUGGGGGAUAACACUUCGAAAGAAGUGCUAAUACCGCAUACGUCCUGAGGGAGAAAGCGGGGGAUCGCAAGACCUCGCGCGAUUGGAGUGGCCGAUGUCAGAUUAGCUAGUUGGUGGGGUAAAGGCCUACCAAGGCAACGAUCUGUAGCUGGUCUGAGAGGAUGAUCAGCCACACUGGGACUGAGACACGGCCCAGACUCCUACGGGAGGCAGCAGUGGGGAAUUUUGGACAAUGGGGGCAACCCUGAUCCAGCCAUUCCGCGUGAGUGAAGAAGGCCUUCGGGUUGUAAAGCUCUUUCGGCAGGAACGAAACGGUGAGCUCUAACAUAGCUUGCUAAUGACGGUACCUGAAGAAGAAGCACCGGCUAACUACGUGCCAGCAGCCGCGGUAAUAC
Molecule: ribosomal RNA, 523 nt
Filed under: uncultured bacterium
Lineage: Bacteria
Description: bacterial SSU rRNA
Rfam family: Bacterial small subunit ribosomal RNA
Source: RNAcentral